GAUGCUCUGAGCGGGAAAGGCGGCUGUUGCCGCUGCUGCUACCGCUGUCGCCGCGAUCCGGCUCCGCCGUGGCCGCGCACUGCGCUCGUUCCCUUUUGGUUUCCAUAGUGACCGAAGACACUUCACAAAGCCCGGGAAGGCGGAUCUCCCAAGAGAACUUCGGGAAGAAAAGAGGGGCGGGGACCCCAAAGGAGGCCCACGGUGUACCCUCCCACCCCUGCUCCCGCUCCGGAGUCAGCAGAGAGCCCCAGUGGAAGUCGAAACAAUAGCACCAACGAGCUAUGGUCAUGCUGCGUGGGGGCUCUCCUGGCUGCUCAGUCCCAGAUCCUGGAGAAGCUGAACUCCCCGGGGCUUCCCUCCAGUCUAGUUUCCUCUGUUUUCAGGGCCCUUUCCUCUUUCUAGAGGGCAGUUUUCAGGAUUUUAGUAGAUCAGGUGGAGCGCACAUACAAUCUGUGUCUACUACCAUUCACACAAAGUAGAAAUCUGACGCGGUCCUCUGAUCCCUAAGAAACAUUAAUUUAUCAACGCUUUCUGGGCAGUUUAAGUUUGAAAAUGGCGCCCCCUGGGUUGCUGUCCACUAGAAUGGGUAAUUGACAACACAAAAUAAAGACUUGAGUGUGUUAAA
Antechinus flavipes (yellow-footed antechinus) is the source of this 625-nucleotide long non-coding RNA. RefSeq lists it as uncharacterized. The record is from RefSeq and is a predicted model, not a curated record. The transcript is spliced from 2 exons. Lineage: Eukaryota; Metazoa; Chordata; Mammalia; Dasyuromorphia; Dasyuridae.